RNAcentral lists this long non-coding RNA (269 nucleotides) under Elaeis guineensis (African oil palm). RNAcentral describes it as "long non-coding RNA (EGUI_LNC043429)". The record is from RNAcentral. Lineage: Eukaryota; Viridiplantae; Streptophyta; Magnoliopsida; Arecales; Arecaceae.
GGGCAGAUUUCUACCUUUCUUGUCUCCUUCUCUUCCUUAAAUCUCUUCCUAGGCCCUUGUCUUAAAAUCAGACUUGUCCUUACUAUUUUUGGACUUGUCCUAACAAGGAAAGAAAGUGACUAAUGGAACAAUAGGGAGAGGGUGUAAGAAAGAAGAGAUAAAAUUAGAAAUCUGAAUGAAUAAAUCCCUGAUGCUGCCCCCUUUAAAUAGUUAGUGACCAGAUGCAUUCAGAUUUGACUCACGCACUCUCCAUGCAACAUCUCAUGCCC